Molecule: transfer RNA, 72 nt
Filed under: human gut metagenome
Rfam family: tRNA
About the family: Transfer RNA (tRNA) molecules are approximately 80 nucleotides in length. Their secondary structure includes four short double-helical elements and three loops (D, anti-codon, and T loops).
Source: RNAcentral
GGGGUAUGGCUCAGUUGGCUAGAGCACCUGCCUUGCAAGCAGGGGGUCGACGGUUCGAGUCCGUCUAUCUCC